Molecule: long non-coding RNA, 1918 nt
Filed under: Marmota marmota marmota (Alpine marmot)
Lineage: Eukaryota; Metazoa; Chordata; Mammalia; Rodentia; Sciuridae
Description: lncRNA (ENSMMMG00000003193.1)
Source: RNAcentral
ACCUUUAUCAGGAACUUUAAUAAGAAUUUAAACAGAAAACCUCUUUGUAUUUGUAUCCCUCAAUUUGGAAGUGCAGGGGUCAUAAAAGAUGAAAGAGUACUGAGUUCAUGUGAGAUGGUCCAAGUGCUGGGUGAGAAGUAAGCUAUUCACUUCCUGACGCUGAGUCAGAGGUGUUCGUCGAGGACCUUGUCAUCUGAAGGCGUCUGUUCCCCCUAUACUACCGCCAGAGCUUUUCUUCUCUGCCACCAGGGCAGACUUGGGCUCGGUGCGCUCAGCCAGCAGCAGCCCAGACACAGCCUGCUCUACGACGGCGGCGUCAUCCUUCCGGGGAGGGAACCCGUUUCCCGGAUUUCUUACUAUUUCGGUCAUGGUGAGCAGGGUCGGGAAAAAGGAAACCAUAACGAUGAAUAACCCUGGGAUGAUGGAAUAGCAGACUACUGACGCAGGAAGCUACGUGCAUGAAUCUCAAACCGCGACGCCAAGUGAAAGGAGACUUCCCGGGAGCACGUACCAGUGCUAUCUAUAUGCGCUCCCGGGACAGGCAAAACUCGUGGACGGCAGAGCAGUGACGCUGCUGGGGCUGCAGGUGGGCAGAGCGGGAAGGGCUUGGAGAACGUUCCCGGGCGUGAUGCUCGGAGCUGUCGCCUGCACUAAACUCGCGACGCGAGGUUAAGGCUGUGCGCUCCGCGGUCCCUGAACCUGGCACCUACAAACACUCCACCAGGGCAAGUGCGCUAGAGCUCGGGGCCACGCGCGCCAAGCCCGCGAGGCUGGCUACCAAGUCGGGCUCCCGCACUCGCACGCCAGCCCCCACCCGCCAGGACGUCGCAGCCAGGCGCCGAGGCUCGGCGCGCGCUCCGGGAGGGUUCUGGCGACGGGCAGGGGCAGGGCCAGGGCCGGGCGCCUGCGGCCGCAGGUUACGCGCACUUCAGCUCACGUGCCCCACUGGUCUCCUUGGGCCGGAGGCCUCAGUUCGGAGGCUACCGAGACGCGGCCCAGGAGGACCAGACCCGUGAAGGUUCCGGGGAUGGCCCUCCUAGGGAGCCGUAGCCAAGACGGUCGCGGUCUCCCUGGGCACAUGACCCAGGCCUGGCCAGUCACAGAACGCCAGGCUCCGGUCUGAGUGAUUGGGUCAGAGACAGGCACAUGACCCACGAUGGACCAAUGAGAGCCCAGCCAUGAAUGCUGAAGGUGGAGCCAGAGUCAGUUGAGCCGCGGGCAAAAUUUUCACUUUCCUCUGAAGACGGCUGAGUGCCAACCAGUGUCCCAGGGAAACUUGCGCCCAGUCCGAGGUCCGAGCGCGCGGGAACCACGGCACGCGUCGUAACUGAUGGCCAGCCCCGAUGUCCCCAGGGCGCCGGCGGUUCGGUCGCGGGUGGGUCUAGGAUCCAUACAGGGCACGCGCGCCGCGUGGCAGGUGACAGUAUCCAGUGACUCUAGUUGCAAAUUACGAAAAGCCCAUCGCUAUGGUCCUGAGAAGUCGGCUGAGGACGCCCUCAGGUAACAACACCCUGCAGGUGCCUGAGACGGGAGGGCAGCGAGCAUGGCCUUAUGGACCACCGAACUCCCGAGGAACCCUUGGACUCGUUAGCUACAGUGCAUUUGCUACGAAACACCCUUAAUGUCUGCAAUUCGGUGUUGUCGGCAUAUUCGGAGUCGAGCAGAUAUCACUGAUGACCGAUUUUACUUUUUCAUUUCCCAGAAAGAACCUGUACCCACUAGCAGUCACUCUCUCCGCUCCUCCCCCAGCCCUAGAAAUCUACUGUCAGUCCCUACAGACCUACCUUUAAUAUCUCAUGGGACAUACUUAUACUAAAAAAUUAUCUGUUGCUUAUGACUUCCCAGUAAGAACCCUAAAGCUUAGGAAAUAAUGCCAAGAAUUAAUAAAUGGGAUGGCAUCAAAUUAAAAAGCUUCUGC